This 369-nucleotide ribosomal RNA is filed under the name Eupolymnia gili. Its description in RNAcentral is "Eupolymnia sp. g GD-2021 partial large subunit ribosomal RNA". It matches the Rfam family "Bacterial large subunit ribosomal RNA", at positions 2048 to 2565 of the family's 2925-position model. Lineage: Eukaryota; Metazoa; Annelida; Polychaeta; Terebellida; Terebellidae. The record is from RNAcentral.
UAGCUGUCUCCCUUUUAGAUAUAAAAAUUAGCAUUUAGGUGAAGAGACCUAAAUAAAAUUAGAGGACAAGAAGACCCCGUAGAGCUUAGUCCAUAAACUCUAUAAAUAUGAAUAAUAGUAUAUCAAAUUUAUAAUUAGUCACAAGACUUAGCUGGGGCGGCUAAGGAAAAUUCUAUCUUCCAAAUAUAAUUAUAAUCUUUAUAAUAACCUUCAAGGCCCAUAAGCCUUUAAAAAUAUGACCCUAAACUAGAAUAUAAAACAUAGCUACCUCGGGGAUAACAGAUUAAUCCUUCUUGAGAGUCCGCAUUGACAGAAGGGUUUGACACCUCGAUGUUGGCUUAGAGUACCCAAUAGAUUUGCAACAGUCUA